UUCAGAAGUAAAUGUCAUGAAGGGUUACAUUUACCUAUUGGAGACACUAAUGAGAGUGUCAAAGAACAUUGGACCUGUGUGAAAGAAGAUGCAAGAAAGCAGCUGGCAGUGCAAUGGAAAGCUAGAAUGACAGCCGAUAAGGGCAACUCGUUGGAGAUUUUACUAUUUUUGUCAAUCAUCUUGGGGUGAUUUCCCGGCAAAGACAGGCUCUAGAACCAUGUCAAGCAGUUGGUUUUGCAGAUAAGAUUCCUGGUAAUUUUCUUGAAAUUUGGCUUUCUUAGUGUGCUCUAUCUUCUGCACUAUUAUUGCCCUUAUUUAGUUUUUGAUACGAUUUAUUUAGUUCUACAAGUAACAAUAUAAAGCCAAUAGGUGUCCGUAACUAUACCGUUGUAUAGGUGUCCGUAACUAUACCCUUAUUUAGUGUCUAGAUACCGUUGUUUUUGUUCAUAGUGUCAAGCUGGUAGUUAUCUUACGGUUGGUUUUAUCCUGCCUUGAGGAGCCAUGUCAAGAGGUCUUCAUCACAGAUCCUGGCAAGGGCUUUAAAGGGAGUUUUUGCUAAGGCAGAUGAACUUCUAAGUACCACACCCAAUAGCUUUAUGCUUCAACAGUUUGAGAACCCUGCCAAUCCAAAGGUAGUUUUGCAGCAAAGUAGAGUAUUGUGGCUAGAGUCCAGAUUGCUUAGACAUUUCCUGAAUCUUUUUUCUUUUCAUUUGUGUAGGUUCCUUAAUCCUUAUGAAACCACUGGCCCGGAGAUAUGGAGAGACUCGGGAGGGAAAGUUGACAUCCUUGUUUCAGGGAUAGGGACUGCGGGCACUGUAACCAGAGCAGGGAGUUUCCUCAAACAGCAAAAUCCAAAUAUCAAGGUUGAAUUGGCUUUUGUGUAUAGAUAUAUUUUACGCGCAUAUUGAACUGACAUGGUCUAGUGGUGUGACUUCUUUUGUUCAUGUUUAGGUGUAUGGUGUAGAACCAGCAGAAAGUGCAGUCCUGAACGGUAGCAAACCUGAUGAGUUACUCUAGUGCUUUGUAAGAGAUGAAGGAGAUGCUACAGCCUAACAUAAGUAUUGUAGUUUAGUUUCAAUCAAUUAAGUGGUCAAAUCUGACUGAUGCAUCAUGCAUGUAAUGAUACAUAAUAUGCACGCUUGUGUUGAAGGGAUGCAUCUGAUCCAAGGAUUUGGUGCUGGUUUCAUACCUCAAGUUCUGGAUGUUAGCUUGCUGGAUGAAGUUAUUCAAGUAAGUCUGGAACUCAUCUGUACUGCUGUAAAGAUUAGACUUUAGAUGUGAAAUUGGCUUGCUCUUACUUGUAUAAUUUGAUGGAUAAAAGGAGUGGUAUAUCUUGUUUCUCAUAACAUGAAGAGCAUUGAUCUUUUUUCUUCCAGAAAGCUCAAGAAAGAUAGAAAAUGUAGUAAGCACUAAGCAGUACAAUGGUUGAUCCAAAAUUAACUUUACUACAAGUUCUGAAAUAUACAAGAUGAUGACCAAGUUCCCAACACUUGUAACAUUGAAAAUAUAGUCCUUACCAAUGUACCAUUUCCUUUAUUUACAUGUCAGUGUGUGUUAACUACUGUAUUUUAGAUGCCAGUAGUCCAGUAUACAACAGGAUGAACUCAUUUUAUUGGUUGCUAAUGUUGGUGUUGAAUUUUACAUAUCCAGUGAGGAAGCAAUUGAAACUGCAAAGCUGUUUGCGCUAAAAGAAGGUCUUUUGGUAUGUACCAGAAGCAACUAAUAUUGUGCUUUUUGUUGUUGUAGACAUCAAUCUUUCAAAUACUUCUGAGUGUUAUCUAUUUGCAAAUGUUGCUUGCAGAAUUUGGUUCUUAAACUCAUAGUCUUGACUUAGAAUUGUUGUUAUUAACUGCAUCUUUUUGUCAUGAAAUCCACAUGUUCCUAUUUAACUCUUCUGCUUGUGCAGGUUGUGUUUGCCAGUUCUGGAGAGCGUUACCUGUCUUCACCACUCUUCGAUACCAUCAGGCAUGAAGCAGAAAAUAUGAAGUUUGAAUGAUGGUGUUCUAUGGUUCACUCAUAAAAUGGUCCACUUAGGUUAGGUUCCUAUGGCAAUUGGAAUAAAUAAGGAAAAUGUCCAAGUCUGCAAAGCAAUAUAACCCCGAAGUGGUUCUUAUGCCUUUGCCUUCUUCAUAGAAUCCCUAUCGAUUCUACUUCAAAACUGUAAAGAAUCUUUAAGUUAAGGCCUUAAAUAGGUAAUCGUACCAGUUUGUGAGUAUUUAAUUCUACCAUUGAUCGCAUGUUGUACUUCUAUCAAGAAAAACCAAACUCGCCAGAACUUCCGCCUCCCACAUCGCUAACAUAGGAUGCGCGGAAGUGAAUGUGGGUAUAAGGCAUUCUUGUGUAAAAUUCUGUAGACUUUUGUUGAACUGUGAGUUGAUCUCAGAAUUAAUAGAAUAGUUGAGGGAGCAAACCUCAUAGAUAGGAGAGUUUUUGGUAGUUUAGGGUUAACACGCAAUUUGUGAACACUAAGCUUUUGUUUCAUUGAAGAAAAUAUUAAGCUUUUAUCUGCCCCAGACGAAGAAAAAUACAAAAAAAUAUGGUCUUGAAGUCGUGGAAUUUGUAUAAGGAGCGAAAAAAAUAAGAGGACGAAAAUACGGUCUUUCAACUUGUUCAUUCUCCAAAAAUCAAAUGGAAAAGUUUGCCUUCAGAUCGAUAUUAUGUGUGAUCUUGACCCUUCUGCUUGUUGUUUGUUGUAAGUAGUCUACCACUCUCUUUCUAUCACACACACACACAUAUGUAAGUACUUUGAUUUCUUUUUUCUUUUUUCUGUUUUGCAAUUAAUUUAAUUAACUAUCAAGAUCGUGUCUAAUUAUCAAAUAGACAUUUUUCUUAAACACUUGUCUUACGUAACUAGAGCUCGAAUCUCUAUUGGAUUAGCUCAAGUUCAAUAGAUGGAGAUGAUCGUGAUUAAUUAUUCUUAAUUUUGAUCAUAUAAUGGCGAAUAUCCAAACAUUAACGAAAUAUAUUGAUUGAUUGCUGAAUUCGAUGCAGACUUGCCAAUAUUGAAGGCCAAUGGAUAUACUAGUGAGUUUGAUGCUAGUGGGAUUGCAACAACAAUCUGCCUAGAUUGUGUUAUGAACAAGGAGGACAUUGCAUAUGUACUUGUACUAGUUGAAGAAAAUUUAUACUGUCAAAUCAUGUUUACCACUGUACAUCAAUGAACUAAUAAUAAACAUGAGUUAUGGGUUUCAUGUCUCUUAUCCCUCACAAUUUUUUUUUUUCUCUAUAAAUUUUACUAUUUACUUAGAACGAAAUUUAUGAUUUUGAUUUGGUUCAUAACCAGCAAACAACUCAUUGUUAAUUUACUAUUUACCCGGUAGACCAUGUGUGAAGCUGUUAAUUGACCUGAGAAUGACGGAGCAAGCGACAAUUGAGUAAAACCGCAACCGUUCGUUUGAAGAUGCUCACUAGUGAGGUACGUGUAACGUGUUGAUGACUUGAUGAGAAAGUUUCAUUGCAUUUUCUGCGUCUAGCAAAUUGUAAAUGAUAAGAAUGACCAAAUGUCUGAACCCGAAGUACAAUGUUGGUCGAGUUGCUAAGCCCCUCCAAAGCAAAUGCGGAAUGAAACCGAGAAUGGAACCCCCUACUAAACUAUAUGAAGCAAGAGUGAAUUGAUCUGAGAGUGAGAGAGCAAGAGUGAAGAUUCUAAAAUUCAUGAAACGGUGAAUUGAUGUGAGAGUGAGAGAGUACGAACGCGAGUGAUCAUUCUAAAAUUUCAAGAAGGGGGCUGCUAAUUGAGUGAGGAGCUCUUGCGGCAUUCAGCGCUCUUCUUUGUGUUAGUUUAACAGCAGUUUCUUAAGGCUCGCUUUUCCGGGCAACUGCAGCAUCACGCAAUUCUCAGAUUGUCUCCUGAGUAUUCCAACCCUUUGGUCUCAAUCUAUUCGAGCUGUUCCUUCAAUUUUUUUUUGCAGUUUACAGUAUCUGUACAACAUACAUAAGAGCUUUAAAAUCUGGGAUAUAUAGUAGAUGCCCUAGCUUGACCGCCAAUAAAGAGAGAACCUCGUUCCCAGUUUUACUCACUAGUCCCAUAUAGUUAGUUAAUCAUGCUGGACAAUAUUACUCAAUCCACUGCAAAAACAAAGUCGCCCGAUCGAAGAUCAGAGAAUUAAUACAUAAAAAGGGUUCGAAUCGCCUAUGUCAUACAAACAUGAUAAUUAACGUGUAAAUAUUUGUCGCAAACAAAGAUUAACGAAUAUUUACUUUUUUCUUUUAGAGAAAUGAAUAUUUCAUUAAUUAAGGGGACGAACCCAAAUUACAAGUUUGCAAUCGCAAGACCGAAAAACUAAUAACAAAGAGUAUGAAUCUCCAACUCAAUCAAUAUAGAAAGAGUGAAAGGAAACCACAAACUCACUAAACUAUGGGCCGAAGACCCUGCAUCCGAAAACAUAAAUACAACAAUACUAACAAAUCUACCACACACACCACUCAUGCACGCUAGCAUUGCCGAACAAAUAUUAACUUAUCACAAUGAAACAACAAUAGUUCUGAAUUGGGAGUUGCUAAAAAAGAGAAAAAGUUCUGAAUUUUCCUUAACAAGUAUAUCAAGGCCCUUCCACCAGGGGAUCCUAUUUUGUGACUUGUAUGAGGGACGGGGCAUUAUACCAAUUUUUUGAUUGAAUUUUCACAUCUCCACUGUUCACUUUAUAUGUUUAUAUGAGUAGAUAACCUCUAUAAAUUUUCAGCCAAAUUGGUUGUCGUUAGAGUAUUCAAAACUAAAAUUCCAUAUUAUAAGCAUGAACGGUUAAGGUUUGGCAGAUGUGGUAUGCUAGUCAAUUUAAUCUCUUUUGACACCUUAAAGAAUACCAAGUUGAAAAUUUACAGAAGUGAUCUGUAUAUUAGAACCUACAAACUGAACGGUGGAGAUGCAAAAUUUCAAUCAAAAGUUGGUGUAAUACUGUAUCCCUCAUAGAAGUUACAAAAAAGAUCCCUUUAAUGGAAGGGCCCUGAUUCCACUAUGGGAUCUCUUUUUGUGACUUGUAUGAGGGACGGGGCAUUACACAACUUUUUGAUUGAAUUUUCACAUUUCUACCAUUCACUUUAUAUGUUUAUAUGAGUAGAUCACAUAUGUAAAUUUUCAGCCAAAUUGGUUAUCGUUAGAGUACUCAAACUUGCAAUUCAAAAUUAUAAGCAUGGACGGUUCAAGUUUUGUAGAUUUGGUUUGUCAAUUGAUUUAAUCUCUUUCGACACCUUAACUAUCACCAAAUUUGUUGAAAUUUACAAAAGUGAUCUAUAUAGUAAAACCUCCAAAAUGAACGGUGGAGAUGUAAAAAUUCAAUCGAAAAGCUAGUUGGUGUAAUUCCUCAUCCCUCAUACAAGUCACAAAAGGGAUCCCAUUGAAUUUUCUUAUCUCCACCGUUCACUUUAUUUGUUUAGAUGAGUACAUCACAUCUGUAAAUUUUUAGCCAAAUUGGUUAUCGUUUGAGUACUGCAAUUCAAAAUUAUAUGAGCAGUUCAAGUUUUGCAAAUUUGGUCCGUUAAUUAAUUUAAUCUCUUUUGACACCUUAACGAUUACCAAAUUUGUUGAAAAUUUACAGAAGUACUGAUCUACAUAUUAUGACCUACGUACAAACUGAACGGUAAAGAUAUAAACAUUUAAUCAAAAAGUUGGUAUAAUACUGUAUCCCUCAUAGAAGUCACAAAAAAAUGAUCUUUUUAGUGGAAAGACCUUAAAUAUCAAGGCAUAUCCACUAAAGGAUCCAUUUUUGUGACUUGUACGAGAGACGGGGCAUUACACAAGCUUUUUGAUUGAAUUUUCACAUGUAUAAUGUCACACAUGACAGUGUAGUACAAGUACUGAAUAGCUAGUUGCUAAAAGAAAAAAGAGUUGAUAUCUAUAGAUCGAUGUAGGUGACUGUGUUACUUGUAGCUGCAUGACUAUAUAUGUGCCAAACCGCCCAUUCAUGUAUGUAAAAUACGUAUAUGUACGUAUAUAUACGUACUAGCUAGCUAGAGUGCAUAAGCCAUGGGUGGACGUUUAGAGGGAGAGAGAGAGCCUUGGAGAAAUUGCAGGGUUUUUACCUCGGGGUGUGAAAUAUUGACCGUGGUUUGUUACGAUUCGGUAGUUAUGGGGAGGUGUGAGGACUUUUGGCAAGAAAAAUUCAGAGGGUGUGAAAUGCGUUAUGCGUGUGUGUUAACUGAGUUGGUGUGGGGGUUCUUUUUGAUUUGGAAAUAACUAAGUCAAAAUCAACUCAUAGAAUUGAAUUAAUGAGUUAAUCUUGUGUGUGAUUCAAGAGCAGGGAAAGGCUUGUAGCGUGAGCUGGCGAGGAAGCUGAAGGCACACCGCGGUGGUGAAAAUUGGACUGAGCUUUUAAGGUUAGAUUUCUGGGAAGGAUUUGGGUUUCAAGGAUAGGGAUUGAAAUAUGGUUGAGGAGGAGUUUUUGGCUUGAAGGUUUGAAGGCAUGAAAGCUUGAGUGUUUUAGGAACUUUUCUGGGCUGGUUGUUCUAUAUCCCUGCAGCUCCCAAACCCCUCUUCUUAUAGAGCUCAAUUGAUGGGUUUUGCAAUGGGUUGCGAUACCUAAUCCACUGUGUAAAAGGAUUGUUCUUCUUAAACACAUGAUCUUAGCCUCAAAAGCUGGCAGAGAGAGGUUGACUUUGAGAGAUGGGAGAGAUAACUCACUGCAGGGGCGCUGCGAGGGCGGCUGCAGAGACGGAAACCCAAGAACGAGGCAGACCAAGUAGCUUAAAUCCCACGAUUUCGUCAUUCAAUGAUGAAAGAGCUACCUUGAAACCAGUCACUAGCUUUCUUCUUCCUCGGGUUGGGAAUGAAUAGGAUUUUACUGUUGUACAAAGCUCGUCGUCGUACUGUUGCGGGGAAAAGAUAAAGUGUGGCAUCUGGUUCAAAAAUGAGAACAUAAAAAGGGUUGGGCUUUUUCCUAAAAGGAAAGAGUUUGGGCUUUUUCCUAAAAGAAAAAAGGGGGUUGGACUUUGGAUUCAAAUAUAUUUUGGGUUUAAAAGAUGAGUAGUCCAAUUCUCACAUUCUUCACCAAUUCGUCGCCUACUUAAGUCGUCGAGCUUGAGUUUCGGGCCCAAGACCGAAACUUCUUAACAACAUUAAAUCGGCGGACGAGCGUUAUGUGCCUCCGUAACCAUCCACACCAUACCCACUUCUACAAGCCCCAAUGAUGCGUGUAUGCGGCUUGGGCCCACAUGAAUGCAUGGGUAUGUUCGCUUGGGUUAAAUCCUUGAUUUAACCUAAGAUUGCAUGAAAUUAUUGCGUGACGAAGUAUUAAUUGAUCGUAUGAUUUUUCGGGUAUCAACAGUUGGUUAAAGUGAGGAGGGAUCCCCUGCGACGUUCUUACUCUAGCUAACUAUGGGUAUCCAUCGAUUGGAAUUCAAUCAAAGCUAACCACCUUGCAAUGCAGCUUCAGUACUACUAAAUCGGAAUAUUUCUCUCUCAAUUCCCCCAAAUUUCACACACUUUCCACUCCUCUUCACUCACUCUCUCUGAAUGGACUAGUAAUUUUUAGCGUGGUAACUCUUUCUGUCUUUCAUACUGUAUAUAUUACCACCAAAAUGAUGCCAGGGUCUUUGUAUAACAUAGUAAAACGUGCUAAAGUUUACUAGUCAAUUCCUAGUUUCAUUUGAAGGGUUUGCAAUUUACAUUUUUUUUUUAAACAAAGGAGGGCAUAUUCAUAUCACCCAUUGUAUUAAUAGACGCAGGUAGAAAGACAACCGAUACAAACCCCAAUAAAUUGAGGUGAAAUUUAUAUUUUUUUACACACUUGUAUAGCUUAAUCAUAUCCACAAACAUUAUCAAUGCUCAUUGUACUAGCUAGCGACUUUCUCCCCGUUACAACAAUCCCAUCAGAAUCAUCAGACCUUAUUAUGUCUGCCUUGACCACCAUACUAACCAUCAGAAUCAUCCCAAAUGAAUAUUCCAUUUGUGAAUCAAAAAACUCAAAACUACUUGAUCCUUAUUGAUAUUUACCAUCUCUAGCCUUUGUGGUUAUUCAUUUUACUUGCAGUGAUGGAAUUAUCUCUGUAGAAACUUUAGCAUCCAGUGAAAAUUAAUUGUGUUAUCCCUGUAGAACUGGUCAAUUGGCAUUAAUUUGAGCUGAGCUAAGUUAGCAAGGACACUGUUGGAGUCAAGAAAACCAGACUGAAAAUACUGACCAUCCAGUUGCCAUCAGUGUACCAACGAUUUGGACUCGCCGUACUUUGACUGAGUUUUCAACAUCGCUUUUAAAUUUUGAAAAUCCCUCCUUUUUUUAUCACCUUCAAGCUUCAAAUUUUACCACUAUAUGUCUAUAUAUAUGUAACUAUGUGAGCCUCCAUAGUCCAUAUAUAAUCUGCCUGUUAGUUUCUUAUUGCAGCCAUUUUAACCUCUCAUUCUGUUCCAAAGUUCUCCAGCGUAUAUAUUUCUCUCUCACCCAGCAGCAUCUAUGAUAACAUGAUCAAUUCUCUUAGUUUUCCCCUUAUUUGCCAUUAUCACAGCAAUUCACAACCCAAGCUCUAGUACAGCCUCAUUAUCAUGCUGCCACUGCAUCAAAGAACAUGUCCGGGAAGCUUAAUAAGCCGUGUCUAUGGUCAUCCCCAAAAUUUACCAUUUUAUCGAGUACUAAUUAAGCUAGGAUCACAAGUUAGAAUAGUAUUAGGCGAGCUGUGGCAUGGAAAGUAUGCUGUCCAGCUUGUCUGCUUGCUUUCUCGGGCGCUUCUACAUCUGCAGUGUAUUCAGGGUUCCCUCCUCAACUAACCAGGAGGAGGGGAGUAAGAUGCAAGCAGCUAGAAAGCUGAGGGGUGCCACCCCGCCUUCAGGAUCUAGAAUAGCUCCGCCUCUGAGACAUUCGAUUUCCACUUUCUUGGACGCCUUAAUAACGCGGAGCUCGGCGAGCCGGUCGUCAAUGACGUGGACUGGAUCCUGGUGAACCAAGACGUCCCCGCCGAUAAGCUCACCACCGGCGGAAGCAUCAAGAAGCUUCUCUUCCUCGUCGGCGGUGCUGCGUCGUUCGCGAUCAACGAUGAAGCCGUCAUCGACGUCGUGCACGGGAUCGGAAAAGAGGCCGGGUUUCCGACGGCAUGCAUUAUCCAAAUUCCGAGACUGACUACCUGCAUUCGCUCUGUCCUGAAGAUGUCCGAGGAAAAAGCUGAAGAGGUGAUUUUUUUUCCACCUUCAAACACGUCGGAUUUGCCAUCUUCGGCUACGUCGUCUACUCCCUCAUCUUUACCGGCGGCCUAAGCCUCGGCGCAGCGCUGGUCUUCGUUUUCAAGCGUGGUUUAAUGAAGUCUGUGUUCGUCAAAGCCUCUAAAGCUAAGAAUAAGGACGCCGAUGGUAAUUCUCAGGUAGCUUCGGGGCUUUUCUGUAAAUUAACACCUGUGUGGCUUUUUAGCGGAGCCAGUUCGUGACUGAUGCAAAGAAGAUAGCCAACGAUGCGCUUAAGCAGUCGAAGGGUUCUGGAAAAAACGAAUUGAGCGAUGAGAUUAGCGGUGAGAUUAGCGAUGAGAAACUCGUCGCAUUGCUCGAGAGGGGCGCGAUUUUAUUGGUGAAGAGAGAGACCGCAAAGAAAAGAAGGUUUGAUUUGGCUCCGAUUCUCUGAGUUUUUUUGUUUGAUUUUGUUCUCGGUGGUGUGAAUUUUAAUUUUGAGUUAUUGGUUAACUUUGGUGGUGGCGGAGGAGAGGAAGGUGUAAUUUGGCUCCGAUCUUGAAUUGUUUGUUUGAUUUUGUUAUUCGGUGUUGUGAAUUUUAAUUUUGAGUUUAUAUAUUAACUUUGGUGGUGACGGAGGAGAGGAUGGGUUGGAGGUUUUAGGUUUUAAUUGCUAGGGAGGGUGGUAUUACGUUAAUUGUUUUUGUUUGUUGUAUUGUCAUUGUUUCGUUUUUAUGAGCAUUGUGUAAUUGAAACCAGUGAAUGGUGUAUUUUGUUAUGGUUGCUUUGGUUUGAUUCUGUAUAUACUGCGAAAUAUGACGUUUUUUGUGUUUGUGUUUUAAUGCUCAGGCCGGUUGCUCUAUGUUUACUGAAAUUUUCACUUUGGUGAAAAUGAAAAAAUAAAAUAAAAAUUUAUGUUAUGUAGAACGUCCAGUAAAAGAGAAGCAUAUGUAGGUGGUGAUGAGUGUUUAGAGCUAAAGAUAUGAUAAAUUGUGAGCUCCAAAUAUGAAUCCCUGCAUGCUGUGCAUUCUUAAGGCUAGGUUGAGCACUUCUUACAUGCUUAAGAAUAUCUGGGACUCUGUAAUUUCUGAUAUGUUUAACUUUGUUAUUUCUAUGUAGUGUACGCAGUGAUCUUGUUUCUCGAUUAAUUCCUAUCAGAGGAUCCCUUGUAUCAAACAAUUACAUUAAAGUAAUUGUUAACCAUGAUGGAAAGGCUUGUAUUCAAGUACAGAUCAAGGAUGGUAAAACAGUAGCUAUCAGUGCUGAGGAUAUCAAUGCUGUGAUUUUUACCAAUUCGGAAAUCAAGGCCACUGUUGUUAUAUCACAGCAUUGAUAUCCUCAGCAUUGACAGUUACCGUUUUACCAUCCUUGAUCUGUACUUGAAUGCAAGCCUUUCCAUCAUGGUUAACAAUUACUUUAACGUUAUUGUUUGAUACAAGGGAUCCUCUGAUAGGAAUUAAUCGAGGAACAGUAUCAUUAUGUACGCUACAUAGAAAUAACAAAGUUAAACACAUCAGAAAUUACAGAGUCCCAGAUAUUCUUAAGCAUGUAAGAAGUGCUCAACCUAGCCUGAAGAAUGCACAACAGGCAAGGAUUCAUAUUUGGAGCACACAAGGAAAGGCUUGCAUUCAAGUACAGAUCAAGGAGGGUAAAACGGUACAUGUCGGUGCUGAGGAUAUCAAUGUUGUGAUUUUUAUCAAAUCGGAAAUCAAGGCCGCUGUUGUUAUUGUUCCUGGUGAGUGAGUAUAGUUCAUGGUUUAGCUUUACACCCUCCUGUUUACAUUGAUGUAUGUCGAUCAUGACUGACAUUGGUUUCAAUUUCUAUUACAGAAUACUUUAAUGGUGGUCAGAUAGAGGUAACCAAGGAUGCUGCUGCCAUUGCUGGGCUUGAUGAUGCUCAGAGAAAGGAAAUCAAUGAACCAACUUCAGCAGCUAUCACCUAUGGUUUGGACAAGAAGGGUGGUGAAACAAACAUCCUUAUCUUUGACCUUAGCGGUGGUACUUUUGAUGUCAAUAUUUUGACAAUUGAAUUUGGUGUCUUUGAGGUUGCCAGAAACGGUGACAUUCCUUUAGGAGGUGACAUUCUUGUCUGAUCUUGUUUACCAUCUUGUUUACCGUUUUUGCAGAGUUAAUGUGUCGCUGAUUGCAAUGGAAUGUUUGCUAUCAUUGCAGGUGAACUGAUUUACCAAAGUAUCAUGGAGUACUUCAUCAAGUUGGUGAAGCACAUCAGCAAGGACAACAGUGCCCUUGAAGCUGAGGCCAAGAGAGCCCUCCUUGUUGAUAUUGAGUCACUUUUUGAUAAAUGUGACUCUGCUGAACCCCUGAAAUCUGAGGAAUUCAACUUGUUCAGAACGAGGCAGGUUGUGUUUGCAGUUGUGGAAAAUGCAGUGCUUUAUAUCAAUUGGCAUGAACGGGGCAGGUUGUGUUUGCAAGUUGUGGAAAAUGAUGGAAAACUGAUAGUUGUAAAUUUUACUUCCUUGUAAAUGUUAUAUAUUUGUAAAUGUUGCUUGCAGAAUUUGGUUCUUAAAUUCAUAGUCCUGACUUAGAACAUUUCCUUUCGAACCUUGCCUUCUUCAUAUAAUCCCUAUCAAUCCCGGGGUGGUUAAGACUUGCUAGUUUGUAAUUGGUAAAUAUCAGAACUUUGGCAUCCCACAUCGAAUCGAAAGGUGCGUGGAAGUGAAUGUGGGUAUGAACCCUCUGUUAAUAUUUUCAAUGUGUGGCAUAAGCGGAGCGCACGGCUAGGCGGUGGGCCAGCUGGUUCGUUUUUCUGGGCUGGCCCGUAAAACGUUUGAUCAAAAUAGCCCACCAAUUUCAUUAAUAAUCCCCUGAUGUGGGCUAGGCGGAUUCUGUGCACGUCAAGGCGGUGGUCCAGUUAGUGCGUUUUUCUGGUUGGGCUGAUAAAACUUAUCAAAUAAGUCCACUAGUUUUAUUAAUAUUCCCCCAGGGCUGGGCGGAUUUUGUGCACGUCCAGCUGGUGCAUUUUUCUGGGCACCACAAUGUUUGAUCCAACAAGCCCAUCAGUUUUUGAAAUUAAUACUCAAUUUUAUUAAUAUAAAUAACAAAAUAUCAAAUUAUAAAUAUACUAGUAAUACUCAAUUUUAAUCAGAACAUAAAUGACCUUUCUUGUCUGAAUCCUUCCCUCACAAUUUUUCCUCCCUCACAAUUUUUUUGUAUUUUUUUUUUCUCAAUAGAUUUUACUAUUUACUUGGCAUGGAGUUUAUGAUUUUGAUUUGGUUCACAACUACAAGAUAAUUCAAGUUGUUGUGGUCAUUAGUUAAGACUUGAGAUCCAACUUUAGAAAAAACUUACCUAAAUGGAGUACGUUGAUAGUAAGAAUUACGAUUAAAAUUUAUGUGUCCAACAUUGGUCCUUUGUAUUAUUUACCAACACUGUUCCAUGUUUAGGGUUAUGCAAUGGAACUUUUGCGUCCAUCCGCAUCCUUCUUUGGAAGAUGACAAAUAUCAGUAGUUGUACUAACCACUACUAAUCACAGACAUGACAAAUGGGGAUAUAUCAAGAAAGACUAUUGUACUAAACAACGUGAAGGGAAAGGAAAAAGCUACCUGUAGUAAGCAUUUACAACUUGUUUCUCUUUGUCUACAUUGCCUACAAGGUUGGUCUAUAUCUGUUUUCAUUUCUGUUUAACAACCAGUAGUUUUCACUUUUCAGUUGUGGAGAACAAGGCCUCAUUCUUGGUUACUUGGUAAAUAAUCAACUAAUUAGGUUUUCAUCUGAACCUCAUUCAUUCAUCAAUUGUUGAGUUUUUGUGGGUUAAUGCUUAUAGGAGUUAGAAGUUUGGGUUUCUCCCUUUUUUGUUUACUGCCAUACUAUAUAAUCAUGAAUUAUAGGUUGCACUAAUUAUAUUUAGUUCAGAGCACCUUAGAGUUCAUAUUCCCACAAUUUUACGAAUAGAAGUCAAUCAAUCCUACUAAUUAUGAAUUAGUAGUCAAUAAUUCAUAAUUUGUGGAAAGUCAUUUUGAUAUUAUUAUGGGUAUAUGGUGCCCUUCUGUGCCUCAGAUUGAUCAUACAGUUUCAAGCAGCUAGCAUACUGUACCAGCAAUGUACUCCUAGUUGUUUCUCAGAGUUUGUUUUUAUUUAUUUCUCAGCUUGCGGCUCGAUGGAGGACUCGUACCCAAUCAAGAACGUCACCAAAGUAAGAUUUCAUGUCAAACUUCUUUUCAUGAUGUUUUUGCUCUUGUUCAUUUUAAGUAUCUUUUGGCUAACAAGGAGAUCUCUUCUUUCUGCUCUUACUUGAUUUAUGGAGUUAAUCGGAAAUACCCUUAUGGUAUAUCUCAACAAUGUCGUGCUCCGAGCUUUUGGAGCUGAGGUCUUCAUCACAGACCCUACCAAGGGCUUUAAGGGUGUUCUUGCUAAGGCAGAUGAACUUCUAAGUACCACACCUAAUAGCUUUAUGCUUCAACAGUUUGAGAACCCUGCCAAUCCAAAGGUAGUUUUGCAGCAAAGUAGAGUAUUGUGGCUAGAGUCCAGAUUGCUUAGACAUUUCCUGAUUCUUUUUUCUUUUCAUUUGUGUAGGUUCCUUAAUCCUUAUGAAACCACUGGGCCGGAGAUAUGGAGAGACUCGGGAGGGAAAGUUGACAUCCUUGUUUCAGGGAUAGGGACUGGGGGUACUGUAACCAGAGCAGGGAGUUUCCUCAAAGAGCAAAAUCCAAAUAUCAAGGUUGAAUUGGCUUUUGUGUAUAGAUAUAUUUUACGCGCAUAUUGAACUCACAUGGUCUAGUGGUGUGCCUUCUUUUGUUCAUGUUUAGGUGUAUGGUGUAGAACCAGCAGAAAGUGCAGUCCUGAUUCCUGAAUGGUAGCAAACCUGGUGAGUUACUCUAGUGCUUUGUAGGAGAUGAAGGAGAUGCUACAGGCUAACCUAAGUAUUGUGGUUUAGUUUCAAUCAUUUAAGUGGUCAAAUCUGACUGAUGCAUCAUGCAUGUAAUGAUACAUAAUAUGCACGCUUGUGUUGAAGGGAUGCAUCUGAUCCAAGGAUUUGGUCCUGGUUUCAUACCUCAAGUUCUGGAUGUUAGCUUGCUGGAUGAAGUUAUUCAAGUAAGUCGUCUGGAACUCAUCUGUACUGCUGCAAAGAUUAGACUUUAGAUGUGAAAUUGGCUUGCUCUUACUUGUAUAAGUUGAUGGAUAAAAGGAGUGGUAUAUCUUGUUUCUCAUAACAUGAAGAGCUAGCAUUGAUCUUUUUUCUUCCAGAAAGCUCAAGAAAGAUAGAAAAUGUAGUAAGCACUAAGGCUUAACCUUGUUCAACUCACUCUUAAACACAACUUACUAUCGGUACUAAGCAAAGAAUCCACUGUGAACAAAAUUAUUAAUUUAGUUCAUAUAUUUCUUUUUACACUAGAGUAACAAAAUUGAUUAUUCAUCACUAACGCUAUCGGUUACUAUUUCUCAUCUAAAUACAUGCGAUAGCGUUAGUAAUUAUAUGUCUUUUCUUUAAAUUUUUUAUUGUUUUUUUUCUUAUUUCGUCACACGUUAUAUUUAGUUUUUUGAUUAAGGGAUUACGUCUCUCACCAGGUCGGUU
Molecule: long non-coding RNA, 14612 nt
Filed under: Fragaria vesca (wild strawberry)
Lineage: Eukaryota; Viridiplantae; Streptophyta; Magnoliopsida; Rosales; Rosaceae
Description: long non-coding RNA (FVES_LNC002707)
Source: RNAcentral